CCUAGGGGUCGCAGCAGUGGGGAAUAUUGGACAAUGGGCGAAAGCCUGAUCCAGCCAUGCCGCGUGUGUGAAGAAGGCCUUCGGGUUGUAAAGCACUUUCAGUGGGGAAGAAAGCCUUGGGGCUAAUACCCUCGAGGAAGGACAUCACCCACAGAAGAAGCACCGGCUAACUCCGUGCCAGCAGCCGCGGUAAUACGGAGGGUGCGAGCGUUAAUCGGAAUUACUGGGCGUAAAGCGCGCGUAGGCGGUCUGAUAAGCCGGUUGUGAAAGCCCCGGGCUCAACCUGGGAACGGCAUCCGGAACUGUCAGGCUAGAGUGCAGGAGAGGAAGGUAGAAUUCCCGGUGUAGCGGUGAAAUGCGUAGAGAUCGGGAGGAAUACCAGUGGCGAAGGCGGCCUUCUGGACUGACACUGACGCUGAGGUGCGAAAGCGUGGGUAGCAAACAGGAUUAGAUACCCUAGUAGU
This 464-nucleotide ribosomal RNA is filed under the name Vreelandella stevensii. Its description in RNAcentral is "partial 16S ribosomal RNA". It matches the Rfam family "Bacterial small subunit ribosomal RNA", at positions 338 to 794 of the family's 1533-position model. The record is from RNAcentral. Lineage: Bacteria; Pseudomonadati; Pseudomonadota; Gammaproteobacteria; Oceanospirillales; Halomonadaceae.